AAAAAGGGCUUCUGCCGUGCGUGGCACGGGGGGGCUCCGGCCGCCCCCGCGGAAUCGACAUCAAGAGAUUUCGGGAGCACAAUUUUUGCGCGCGGGGCCUGCCGGUAACCGCCCGUUCCGGCGCCCCU
Molecule: small nuclear RNA, 128 nt
Filed under: Anser brachyrhynchus (Pink-footed goose)
Lineage: Eukaryota; Metazoa; Chordata; Aves; Anseriformes; Anatidae
Description: U11 spliceosomal RNA (ENSABRG00000009782.1)
Rfam family: U11 spliceosomal RNA
Source: Rfam by way of RNAcentral